This 330-nucleotide long non-coding RNA is filed under the name Cyclopterus lumpus (lumpfish). Its description in RNAcentral is "lncRNA (ENSCLMG00005006845.1)". Lineage: Eukaryota; Metazoa; Chordata; Actinopteri; Perciformes; Cyclopteridae. The record is from RNAcentral.
AUGUUAAAAACAUUGGGAAUCUCUCUGAAAAGAGUGAAAGACAACUUUUUACUGAUGCAGUGCAGAAUCAGAACUGCCUUUGUAUUAAAGUGGGAGCUUUUACUAAUGUCUGGUAACUUUCAGGUUGUCCUCCAUCUUUGGCUCAUCUCCAUUUACUUGGAUCAGUUGAUGGACCAAUGUGACUUGCAGUCAAAAGACCAAGUGAAGACGCGUAAAACAUUCCUGCUGGAAAAUUCCCAUCUCUAUGUUGGUGAAAGCCAGACUGAAAAUCGAGAGGACAAGAUGUUGCACAAGCAUGGUUGUGAUCGUUUACUUUCGUGGGCAGUUUGA